RNAcentral lists this transfer RNA (73 nucleotides) under Canis lupus familiaris (dog). It matches the Rfam family "tRNA". Rfam says of the family: Transfer RNA (tRNA) molecules are approximately 80 nucleotides in length. Lineage: Eukaryota; Metazoa; Chordata; Mammalia; Carnivora; Canidae. RNAcentral also lists the same sequence under 1 other name. The record is from Rfam by way of RNAcentral.
GCCUGGCUGGCUCAGCUGGUAGAGCAUGAGACUUUUGAUCUCAAGGUUGUGAGUUUGAGUCCUAUGUUUUGUA